CUCUUGACCUUGUGAUCCGCCCAUCUUGGCCUCCCAAAGUGCUGGGAUUACAGGAGUGAGCCACCGCACCCAGCUCUUCUUUGAGUUUUUAAGGCCACAUAAGCUGUGGAUGUUAUAGAAUUUCUUAUUUCCCUGGGCAGCAACUGGGCCUCUAUUGAGACCCAAAUGCCCUCUUCAGAGGGAACUACGAGGUCAACAAGCACAAUCCCCACAUGUGCAGUGAAGUCUCCAUACGUCCACUCUGGAGGAGGAGAUGACAAGGCAGGGAGGCUGUCAUUUCCUACUUGGGCGGACCCUUCUAGGGGCGGUCUGCUCUGGCCCCUCCGCAAUUCCAGUCAGCAGCCUAGCAUGUCACUCUGGGAGGACCGCAGGAACUAGCAAAUCCAAUAUUCUGCUUACAAAUGGAGAGACGGAGGCCCCAAGAAGAAAGCUAAGAGGUACCAUCAUCAAAGGUAAGGUGAUGGGAAGCUGCCCCAUGCCUCGGUGUUCCACUAUGAGACAGAAGACACAGUGGUUAUAACUGCCACUUACCACUGAUUGUUAAACUCAACUUCAUUUCUUUUUAUUUUUUGCCUUUGCCAUGAUAGAUUUUAUAUCUUAUCACCACAACUGUGUGGUGAUGUGGUUUGGAUGUGUGUCCCCUCCAAAUCUCAUGUUGAAAUGUGGUCCCCAGUGUUGGAGGUGGGGCCUGAUGGGAGGUGUUGGAUCAUGGCAGUGGAUUCCUCAUGCAUGGCUUGGCACUCUCUCCUUGGUGAUGAGUUCCUGCUCUGAGAUGACAACUCAGAUAACUCCAUGCUGUGGUGCUAGCACCUGAGAGACCCAUGACCGAGAGAUCUGCCCCCACAUAUAAAUCCAGAGGGAUGGGGCUGGCCUGCUGCUUCUCUUCAAGAACCAGUAGAGGCUGACGCUGCAGAGAGGGCAGCACCCCAGGGUCAAGGAAAUCACCAACAGAGGGGACCAGCAGGGGUCACCUAAGACCCCAGAACAAGAGAAACCUUUCUUAAUUUGCCACAUCCAGUGAGUUCAAUAGAAGCCUCCUGUUUCAGCCAGGGGUCCCCAGGGAAGCAGAGUAACAGGACAUGCGUGGAUAUGGAAGUGGACAUAAGCACGGGAAUGGAUGAAUAUGGAUAUGGAUAUUGAUAUAGAGAGAGGUCUGCCUCCACCCCAAGAGGACCUCGUGGACGUGGUGCCUCAGGCUCCACCAUCCCCAGGAGAAGAGUGCCAUGCUUGGACUCGUUUUUGCUGUUUUUGGGACAGUGGUGCCAUUCCCCUCCCGUGACUGACUCCUGCGUGCAGUCCCUAAUCUGCCCAUCACCGCCGGGGCACUGUCCACAGCAUUCUGUUGAUUUCCUCCACACUGUCUAACACAACCUGAAACAACCUCAUCUGCCCACCACGUCUCAUCUGUGCCUCCCUGCCUGGAACGGAGCUGCAGGAAGGCAGCGAUGUUUGUCUGGAGGUUCCCUGUUCGCUGGUGCGGGUCUAUGAGGAGGAAACACACAGAAACCAAAAGAUGGAAUCAGGCUGUCUCGGGCCACUUCCUUCCGCCACAGCUCUGCCUGGAGUGCCAGCCCCAGCACAGGUGAAUACACAGAACCAGCGCCUCCCUCCUGGAGCUUUCCUGGGGAGACCAGUGAGGGUGAACAAGGAAGCGGAUAGAGAACUCCCCGCAGCGUAAGUGCAGUGGGGACAUUUGUGGCAGGGAGUGCCUGGGGAGGGUGGUCGGGGAAGGCUGCCCCAAGGAGUUAUCAUCUGAGCAAGACCCAAAAUUGUAAGAAGUAGCACGCGGCGCUCCCAGGGAAGAGCAUGCCAGGCUGGAGGCCCUGCGGAGGGGACAAGUUCAGCAGCUUGGAGGACCAGAGAGAAAUCCAGCUCCUGCCUCCUAACUCACACAGCCCUGGUUAUAGCCUUUUGUUAUCACGUUGGGGCAGUUUAGGCCUCAGGAAGCUGAAUCUCAAGACCCUAAUCUGACUGUGGGUCAGAAGAUCCUCAUUCCAGGGUGGGUUCUGCCUCAUCCCCUAGAGGAAGAAAUGCUGCCGAGAAGCUGAGAAGAGUCUGGGCCAGGCGUGGUGGCUCAUGCCUGUAAUCCCAAGACUGGGAGCCCAAGGCGGGCAGAUCACCU
This 2122-nucleotide long non-coding RNA is filed under the name Homo sapiens (human). RNAcentral's name for it is "HSALNT0371774". The record is from RNAcentral. Lineage: Eukaryota; Metazoa; Chordata; Mammalia; Primates; Hominidae.